Molecule: long non-coding RNA, 749 nt
Organism: Mustela lutreola (European mink)
Lineage: Eukaryota; Metazoa; Chordata; Mammalia; Carnivora; Mustelidae
Exons: 2
Source: RefSeq, a predicted model, not a curated record
UUCCCCUCCCAGCCCGGGUGAAACCCGAGCGCCCCACCCGGCGCCUGACCUCCCUGGGCCCCGCCCCCGACACUGCCCUUCCCGGGACGCGCCCCCCCUCUUUCGCCCCGGCGGCCCCUGUUCCCCGGGACCCCCACUCCUUCUUUAGUGCGAGUGCGCCCGAGCGUUGACUUUCGGGGAUUCCCUGUACCCGACCUCGCACAGACCUUUGUGGCUCCCCCGCCCCCCAAUCCGGCCGCUCAGACGUGGCUGCUGGCGGGGGGGGGGGGGGGGGCGGGGGGAGAGGCGGCGGCGGGUGGGGGGAGGGCGCGGUAUAAAGGGCCGGAGGCUGCGCGGGCUGAGACCCGAGACGUGGCGCGCCCACCCUGCCGGCCUCAUCUCCAGCCACAUCGCUCGUGACACGGCCGGUGCAGCGGAGCAAAGCCAGGAGGGGGCUGGACAGACCACCACAACCACCACCCAGAAGAGGUGCUGACGAUGCUGUGGGUCAGGAGUGCCUCAGGGAACCCCGGGUGUUCGUGAUCUUUAAUGACUGGAUGAGAUUGUAUUAACAUCAUGAAAAACCUCAGUCCGGGAAAUCAUGGCCUCUGGGCGUUUACGGGAUACAAGAAAUCCUUCACAGGAUUUUCCUAUAGAUCAGGGGGGCGGGUACACCACAGUCGUCAACCACUGGUGUUCUUUUUCUCAGGUUUUCCUUCGUUUGGAUCCAUGGCCUUUAAGAAUUAAUAAAACUGCUAGAUCAAAAACCC